Long non-coding RNA from Oncorhynchus tshawytscha (Chinook salmon), 2518 nucleotides. The record is from Ensembl. NCBI's taxonomy places the organism in Eukaryota, Metazoa, Chordata, Actinopteri, Salmoniformes, Salmonidae.
AGCAAUUCCGCCUGUUUAUUAGUCAUUUUAAUGCCAGAUAGUUAGUAUUUUCCAUGUACUGCUAGCGUUGGCCUUAUUAACGGUAUCAAAACAAGUAGAAACAACUCAAACUGUGCAGAAUUAAUUCACUACAUAAGCAUCACUCCCAAUGCCAGCAUAAUAAAACAAACACUUCACCAUCAAUGAUGAAGUAGUGCAAUAUGGAAAAGCUUUGAUAAUGUUGCUAGUUUUAAACAAUAGUAACAAGUUACUAAGUUGUAUUGUAAUAGCAGCAUGGCUCAGCAUCACCAACACACAGCACUGUGCAUAGUGAGCACAGUAAAACACCUUAUGGCACCUAAGUGGUGUCAAUAUGGAUCCACGUCUGCACCCACUGUCUUACGUCAGGUGGCGUCAAUCCUACGCAAUGGUCGUCCCUCAACCGACGAUAACGGGAAUCAUCGUUAUCUGAUGUAAGACAAUGGGUCUGAACCCAUAGAGUUGGUUGGAACUGGAGCCUGUAGGCUACUUAGCACUCAGGAGGGUAAAGGUCUGUAGAGGGUAGAAGUCUGUAGAGGGUAGAAGUCUGUAGAGGGUAGAAGUCUGUAGAGGGUAGAAGUCUGUAGAGGCUAGAGGUCUGUAGAGGCUAGAGGUCUGUAGAGGCUAGAGGUCUGUAGAGGCUAGAGGUCUGUAGAGGGUAGAGGUCUGUAGAGGUCUGUAGAGGGUAGAAGUCUGUAGACGUCUGUAGAGGGUAGAAGUCUGUAGAAGUCUGUAGAGGGUAGAAGUCUGUAGAGGGUAGAGGUCUGUAGAAGUCUGUAGAGGGUAGAAGUCUGUAGAGGGUAGAGGUCUGUAGAGGGUAGAGGUCUGUAGAAGUCUGUAGAGGGUAGAAGUCUAGAGGGUAGAGGUCUGUAGAGGGUAGAGGUCUGUAGACGUCUGUAGAGGGUAGAAGUCUGUAGACGUCUGUAGAGGGUAGAAGUCUGUAGAAGUUUGUAGAGGGUAGAAGUCUGUAGAGGGUAGAAGUCUGUAGGAGUCUGUAGAGGGUAGAAGUCUGUAGAGGGUAGAAGUCUGUAGACAUCUGUAGAGGGUAGAAGUCUGAGAAGGCUAGAGGUCUGUAGAGGCUAGAGGUCUGUAGAGGCUAGAGGUCUGUAGAGGGUAGAAGUCUGUAGAGGUCUGUAGAGGGUAGAAGUCUGUAGACGGUAGAAGUCUGUAGACGUCUGUAGAGGGUAGAAGUCUGUAGACGUCUGUAGAGGGUAGAAGUCUGUAGACGUCUGUAGAGGGUAGAAGUCUGUAGACGUCUCUAGAGGGUAGAGGUCUGUAGACGUCUCUAGAGGGUAGAGGUCUGUAGACGUCUGUAGAGGGUAGAGGUCUGUAGACGUCUCUAGAGGGUAGAAGUCUGUAGACGUCUCUAGAGGGUAGAAGUCUGUAGACGUCUCUAGAGGGUAGAAGUCUGUAGACGUCUCUAGAGGGUAGAAGUCUGUAGACGUCUGUAGAGGGUAGAAGUCUGUAGACGUCUCUAGAGGGUAGAAGUCUGUAGACGUCUCUAGAGGGUAGAAGUCUGUAGAAGUCUGUAGAGGGUAGAAGUCUGUAGGAGUCUGUAGAGGGUAGAAGCCUGUAGAAGCCUGUAGAGAGUAGAAGCCUGUAGACAUUACCUGUUUAUUUCGCCCCAAUUUCAUGGUUUCCAAUUGGUAGGUAGUUUUGUCCCAUCGCUGCAACUCCCAUAUGGAGAGGCGAAGGUUGAGAGUUGUGCGUCGCACGAAACACGAACCAGCCAAGCCACACUGCUUCUUGACACAACGCCCGCUUAACCCGGAAGCCAGCCGCACCAAUGUUCUGUAUACACCGUACACCUGGCAACCGUGUCAGGGGCCAUGUGCCCGGCCCACCACAGGAGUAACUAGAGCGCGAUGGGAAAUGUUAAUCUUGGCCUGUCAAACCCUCUCCUAACCUGGAUGACGCUGGGCCAAUUGUGUGCCGCCUCAUGGGUCUCCCAGGAACUGGCCAGCUGUGACACAGCCUGGGAUCGAACCCAGGUCUCUAGUGACGCCUCAAAGACUGCGAUGAAGUACCUUAGACUGCUGCGCCACUCGAGAGGCUCCCGCAAAUUGAUUUUAACAAAAUUGAUCUCCCAAAAAAUGCUCCCCCCCAUUGAAUUUCAAAAUCCCGAUGUGGCCCUCGAGCCAAAAAGUUUGCCCACCCCUGCUAUAGAGGGUAGGAGUCGGUAGUGCUAGCCUGUACGAUCUGUAGGCUACACAGGUAGGUAAACUCUUAGAAAAAACUGUUCCAAAAAAGUCCCCAUAGGAGAACCCUUUUUGGUUCCUGGUAAAACCUUCUGUGGAAAGGGUACCACAUGGAACCAAAAAGGGUUCUCCUAUGGGGACAGCCGAAGAACCCUUUUCGGUUGUAGAUAGCACCUUUUUUUCUAAGAGUGUAGUAUAGGCUACACUAGACUCAAGGGGAUAGGAGGCUUUUCAUUGGCUACACUAGACCCAAGGGGGUAGGAGGCUUUACAUUGGCUACACUAGACCCAAAGGGGUAGGAG